Molecule: non-coding RNA, 138 nt
Organism: Ornithorhynchus anatinus (platypus)
Lineage: Eukaryota; Metazoa; Chordata; Mammalia; Monotremata; Ornithorhynchidae
Source: Rfam
CCCCGCUCAGGGUUGCGCCUGGAGAGUUUCCAGUACUCUACCAGCCUCGACUAUGGGUGGGAGAGGCAAGCAGAGGCAUAUCCAUUCCAUUCUUAGCUUGAGCAGUGGCUAGCGAGUGGAAAGCAAUUUGCUACAAGU